This 406-nucleotide ribosomal RNA is filed under the name uncultured bacterium. RNAcentral describes it as "partial 16S ribosomal RNA". It matches the Rfam family "Bacterial small subunit ribosomal RNA", at positions 30 to 526 of the family's 1533-position model. The record is from RNAcentral.
AUUGAACGCUGGCGGCAGGCCUAACACAUGCAAGUCGAACGCGUGGCGGACGGGUGAGUAAUAUAUGGGAAACUGCCCGAUGGGGGGGGAUACCUACUGGAAACGGUAGAUAAUACCGCAUACUAUCGGCAGCGCCCAGAUGGGUAUCGCUAGUUGGUGGGGUAAUGGCUCACCUAGGAGACUAUCCCUAGCUGGUCUGAGAGGAUGACCAGCAACACUGGGACUGAGACACGGCCCAGACUCCUACGGUAGGAAGCAGUGGGGAAUAUUGCACAAUGGGGGCAAGCCUGAUGCAGCCAUGCCGCGUGUAUGAAGAAGGCCUUCGGGUUGUAAAGUACUUUCAGCGGGGAGGCGUUACUCGCAGAAGAAGCACCGGCUAACUCCGUGCCAGCAGCCGCGGUAAUUC